RNAcentral lists this ribosomal RNA (253 nucleotides) under uncultured bacterium. RNAcentral describes it as "partial 16S ribosomal RNA". It matches the Rfam family "Bacterial small subunit ribosomal RNA", at positions 524 to 776 of the family's 1533-position model. The record is from RNAcentral.
UACGAAGGGGGCUAGCGUUGCUCGGAAUCACUGGGCGUAAAGGGUGCGUAGGCGGCGUGGUAAGUCGGAUGUGAAAUCUCGGAGCUUAACUCCGAAACUGCAUUCGAUACUGCCGUGCUUGAGGACUGGAGAGGAGACUGGAAUUUACGGUGUAGCGGUGAAAUGCGUAGAUAUCGUAAGGAAGACCAGUGGCGAAGGCGGGUCUCUGGACAGUUCCUGACGCUGAGGCACGAAGGCCAGGGGAGCAAACGGG